Hyaena hyaena (striped hyena) is the source of this 922-nucleotide long non-coding RNA. RefSeq lists it as uncharacterized. The transcript has 3 exons. The record is from RefSeq and is a predicted model, not a curated record. NCBI's taxonomy places the organism in Eukaryota, Metazoa, Chordata, Mammalia, Carnivora, Hyaenidae.
UGAAGACCAGAAUGAGUCACUCCGAAUAUCAAUCAACAGGGUGCCUUGGGUGCCUUGGGGGUCGGUGCUCAAGCAGAAACAAUUGACUGGGGGUGGAUAUCGAUUGCCACCUGAAGAUGCUGCCAUCGAAGGGACUACAUUUUAAGCAACAUCUGCAUUCCAAAGACUUCAACUACUUUACUUGGUUGACAUACUUUAAAAGGCAUCUAUAAGACUUUGAUAACAGGAUUAUGUUGGUUUUGGAGCUUUUACAUACUGCCAAAACAUUUGAUGGGAAGAAGUCUCAAGGUUCUAUCCAGGAUCCGCAGAUCAUCUGUUCUUGAAGUUAUGUCUUGAUGGCCCUGAAAUGAUCCUGCUACCUUCCAGCCCUGCUAGAGAAUGAAAAUAUGAGAAACUGUUUAAAUGGCCCAUUACCCAGACAUGCCACACUACCAAGCCCUUCUAAGGGCUAACCAUAGCUCUGGACUCUGCUGGGCCCUGAAAUACAGAAUUCUUCCCUCCAGGUUCCUCUGAUGUUUUCCUUUCAAUAUCUCUGCUCCAUCUGUCUUCUAUCCAGGCAAAACAAUUCAUCUUUUGCUUGCUUCAUAAGCAUCAAGCAAAAUCUCCUUAAUGAAUUAAUACGUUUGUAAACCAAAAGCCCUGAAGAUACCCUUUUUUCUACUUUCCUUCCCUGAGGCAAUGAGUUUACUAUGUGCUUGUGAUGAGGGAGCAUAAAGCAAACUGACAGGCCACAAACACCCCUCCCCUCCUCCCUUCCCCCACCCCAGGUGGAAUAUGUGUGAUAUUCAGGCACUCCUGGCUGCCCAAGAACAAAGGAAAGGGGAAAACAAAUGGUUAACUGAUAGAGAUCAUAGUCCUGCAGUCCUCCAUAAUGAAGUGGGAAACAAAGGGCAGAAGGAAAUGACAGAUAGAACUAAAUUUC